ACGCUCGACACCUACGGAGGCAGCAGUCGGGAAUAUUGCGCAAUGGAGGAAACUCUGACGCAGUGACGCCGCGUAUAGGAAGAAGGUUUUCGGAUUGUAAACUAUUGUCGUUAGGGAAGAUACAAGACAGUACCUAAGGAGGAAGCACCGGCUAACUAUGUGCAAGCAGCCGCGGUAAUCUGAGCGGGCUGGCAAGGC
RNAcentral lists this ribosomal RNA (198 nucleotides) under uncultured bacterium. RNAcentral's name for it is "partial 16S ribosomal RNA". It matches the Rfam family "Bacterial small subunit ribosomal RNA", at positions 328 to 539 of the family's 1533-position model. The record is from RNAcentral.